RNAcentral lists this transfer RNA (78 nucleotides) under Candidatus Bathyarchaeota archaeon. RNAcentral's name for it is "tRNA-Gly". It matches the Rfam family "tRNA". Rfam says of the family: Transfer RNA (tRNA) molecules are approximately 80 nucleotides in length. Their secondary structure includes four short double-helical elements and three loops (D, anti-codon, and T loops). Lineage: Archaea; Thermoproteati; Candidatus Bathyarchaeota. The record is from RNAcentral.
GGGCCCGUAGCUUAGCAAGGUAGAGCGGCGGUCCCAUCCACGGGAAGGUCGAGGGUUCAAUUCCCUCCGGGCCCGCCA